This is a long non-coding RNA of Pongo pygmaeus (Bornean orangutan), 4465 nucleotides long. RefSeq lists it as uncharacterized. Lineage: Eukaryota; Metazoa; Chordata; Mammalia; Primates; Hominidae. The record is from RefSeq and is a predicted model, not a curated record. The transcript has 2 exons.
GAGUCUCGCUCUGUUGCCCAGGCUGGAGUGCAGUGGCGCGAUCUGGGCUCACCGCGACCUCCGCCUCCUGGGUACAAGCGAUUCUCCUGCCUGAGGCUCCUGAGGCUGGGAUUACAGGCACCAGCCGCCACACCCGGCUAAUUUUUGUGUUUUCAGUAGAGAUAGGGUUUCACCAUGUUGAUCAGGCUGGUCUUUAACUCCUGAGCUCAAAUGAUCCACCCGCCUUGGCCUCCCAAACUGCUGGGAUUACAGACAUGAGGCACCGCACCUGGCCUCUAGUUUUUCAAGAUGCCACCUUUAGGGGAACUGGGUAAAGGGUACAUAGGGUAUGCAUUAUUUGUUACUGCAUGUGAAUUUAUAAUUACCUCAAAUCAAAAGUUAAAUUUUUUAAAAAACGACAUCUGAUUUCAAUAAAAAUCCAUAUUUGUGUAUUGAAGAAAUCAGAAAUCCGGGUCCCCCAAGGGCCCAUGUUUCUUAAGGCGGAGCCAGGCACCGCUGCCCCGCCUGUGCUGUGCGCCCCCGACCUGCCAGCCCCAUCAAUCAGGGCUGCCGUCCUGAGUCCGUCCUCGUCGUGGGAUAGAGCCCCGUAAGGUCCUUCCUGUCGGCCUCACUGCUCCAGCCUCCCCAACGUCCUCACAUCCACGCUGCGUGCCCUUUCUCAGCCUGAACGCCUCCUCUUCACCGCGACAUGAUCAGAGCCACCUCCUGCGUCAGUCCCAGCGCCCACGCCCCCAACAACGGGCACUUGUCUGACCAGUCACGGGUACUUGUGUCUCCCCCACAACUCCCAAGGCCUAGGCUGGACAAAUACGGAGUGGAUAAAGGGGAAGAAGCUGCGGCCAGGUGGCGCGAGGCCUGUGCGGGCAGCUCCGCAGGCUCGGAGGCGAGCCCAGCCUGGUGAGCUCCGAAACUACCCGGGCUGGGGGCUGAUGAACGAAUAAAUGAAUGUGGGAAGAAAUGAUGGCGCGGCAGGGCAUGAAGGCGGAGCCAACAAGGCUGGAAGAGUGAUGAGUGAAUGAGUGAAAGAAUAAACGCGCAGGAGGCACGAUGCUACAGAACUGAUCGCCAUAAGGCUCGCAUUCACCGAGCGGACAGCAAACGGGUGCCGUUUCCGUCCCGACCACGGUCGCCUCUGGCCCGUGCAGGGCCACUUCCGGGCCUCUCUGGACGGCGCGGAGGCCUAUCUCUCGGUGGUCCCAGAGGGCCCAGCUCAGGGCCGAGCCCCGCCCUGCCCCGCGCGGCGGGAGUGGUUGGAGCCGGAGGGCGGAUCUGUGCCUGGUCGAGGGUGUCCGUCGGCGUCACUCACCGUCCUCGGCCCGCCUCUGCGUCCACUAGGCGCGGCCUGAGAGAGGCCCGCACGCGGGCUCGAGAUGCGUGGAAUGCACCUAGAGCUGCAUUCCAUGUACUCCUUGGAUUUUGGUCCUUUCCUCCAUCAUCAAGUAACUGGUAACAUCUUACUAUUUCUCUCAUUAAGUUAAAAUAUUUAACAUAUGUUCAUUUUAUCUUAUUUGCAUGAGAGUCAAUUUUAGCUUUAAAAAAAAUUUUAUUGGCCGGGCGGGGUGGCUCAGGCCUGUAAUCCUAGCAAUUUGGGAGGUGGAGGUGGGCGGAUCACCUGAGGUCAGGAGUUCGAGACCAGCCUGACCAACGUGGUGAAACCUCGUCUCUACUAAAAAUACAAAAAUUAGCUGUGUAUGGUGGUACAUACCUGUAAUCCCAGCUACUUGGGAGCCUGAGGCAGGAGAAUCGCAUGAACCUGGGAGGCAGAGGUUGCAGUGAGCCGAGAUCAUGCCACUGCACUCCAGCCUGGGCAACAGAGCGAGACUCCAUCUCAAGAAAAAAAAACAAAAAACAAAAAACAGGGCUGGGCGCAGUGGCUCACGCCGGUAAUCUCAACACUUGGGAGGCUGAGGUGGGGGGAUCACGAGGUCAAGAGAUCGAGACCAUCUUAGCCAACGUGGUGAAACCCUGUCUCUACUAAAAAUACAAAAAUUAGCUAGGCGUGGUGGCGUGCGCCUGUAGUCUUGGAUCACCCAUGCUGGAAGAAUUCAGCUGCCCAGCCAUGAGGAAACUCAGGUCUGCAGUCCUGUGGAGAGGCAGUGGAGCAGUGCAUCCUCCAACCCCAGUGGGGCCUUCAGAUGAUUGCAGUCUUGGCUGCAAUGUUGACUUCAACCUCGUGAGAGGCCUUGAGCCAGAACCACAGGCCAAGCUGGUCACGAAUUCCCCACCCCCAGAAAAUGUGUGCGAUGAUAAGUGUUUAUUUAUUUAUUUAUUUUUGAGAAAGUCUUGCUCUCUCACCUAGGCUGGAGUGCAGUGGCGCGAUCUCAGCUCAUUGCAACCUCUGCCUCCCAGGUUCAAGGGAGUCUUGUGCCUCAGCCUCCCAAGUAGCUGGGAUUACAGGCGUAUGCCACCAUGCCUGGCUAAUUUUUGUAUUUUUAGUAGAAACGGGGUUUUGCCACGUUGCCCAGGCUGGUCUCGAACUCGUGAGCUCAAGCCAUCCGCCCAACUCAGCCUCCCAAAGCACUGGGAUUACAGGCCUGAGCCACCACGCUUGGCCUGGAGCAUGCCCUUGAUGUGCAAACUAACCAAUUCAGAGCCUCACCCCUCUAUCUGGUCCACACACCGCAGGAGACAGUAUUCCUCUGUCUUAAUCAUCCCAGGAACAGGAGCCAAGCAGCUGGGGAACACUCCCACAGCUGAAAGCCCACAGGAAUUACUCUAGCUAGCCAGUCCUGUGCUGUGGGCUCUGCUCUGCCUUGCUUUUCCCUUGGAAACCCCAGUAAAGGCUCUGGCUUAGAGCUCCCCCUUGCUCCUGCCGCUGCUGCCUCUGACAGAUGCUGGUGCUUUCUCAUGUGUCCUUCCUGGUGGGCCGCGCCUCCUGUUUCCAGGAUCUGUGAGCAUGAUGAACUUUGUUUUCCUGAGCUUGUCCUGUGUGUCCUCUUCUGGCCACACCUGACUGAGCAGCACAUAAAAGCCACAGAACACCAGGAGGGCUGCUGCUUGGGGAAAUUCUGUGAGAAGAGUCCUGGAGGACUAGGGGCAGGGCAAGCACUGCUCUCCCUCUCCUGGAGGCUGGGGAGAGCAUCAAGGAGACUACCAGGUAGGAGGAACCAUGGGCAGGGCCUCCCUUAUGAGGAUGCUUUCCCCAGAACAGAGGGAUUUAAGCCCCUGGUGGGUGAGUCCUGGAUUAACCAAGACCUGAGCCUUCUGGGGGCUGCGGAGGACAGAGGACACUGUGAGGUGAGUUUCUCCUGGGUGGAUUCCCCAGGGGCCUCUGAGGCUGGUUUCAGGCCCUGCCCUUUGGCUGCCCCACUGGAAGCUCUGAGCAUCCACCCUUCAGAGACACUUUCCCUGGUCUGACCUUGGCAAGGGCAAAUAAGGAGGUAUUCCAUGGAGGGUCACCAAUGUCUGGGGUGUAAACGGUGCCCAUCUGCACAGUAGCAUGAGGGCCACAGAGUGUGGUAAAUGUCAGUGACCAGCCCAUGCGGUCCCCAGUGUGGCUGCAGGGGCCACCUAGGAUUCUUCUGUUUCAGGGUCCCAGGCCACACUUGGGGAACCCUAUUGGAAGCAACAAGGUCUAGGCCCUGAGGGCCCAGGGCUCUGCCCUCUCCAGGGCUCUAGCUGAGCCACGUGCAAGCAUCCUCCAGGCCCUCCCAGCUGGUGUGAGGAGGAAACCGCAGCCAAAGGGCAAGGUGCUCCACACAGAUCUGUCCCUAGUCAGCCUGCCCCAUUCAGCCUCUGGAGUGGGAGCCUUGGGUCUGUCUGGAACCAGUGUGGAUGAAAUGCAGGGAGAAACGAAUCAUAGCCAUGGACAGCCACUCACAUAGCUGGGAAGAGGCAUGCUGUGGUAGAUUCCGGUGGACUCUCACCUCUGCGGUGCUGGGGACGUCGUGCCAACACCUCAGGCACCCACUUCCACUCACACCGCGGAGGCUUGGGGAGAUGCGGUUCAGUCUGGAGUCCAGCGGGGGACGACAAUACGGCGACCCGCUCGUCAGUCAGACCAGGGCAGGCUUGCCAGGGCAUCACACUUCACCAAAGGGAACCCUUUCUGCUGCGACUACCAAGCCGCCAGGUCCCGGACAGGCAGAAGCCUGCCCUGAGGUCUCACCUCUGGAGGGUUACGAGCUGUGCCAGGCCGGCUACGGUAGAGGGUGUGCAAAUACCCCGAGGUCCCAAGGCUCCUGAAGCCGCCCAAGGGGCAUGAGAGGCCCUAGGUUCGAAUCCUGUCUCCACCGUCUUAUGGUCGUGCCUCUGGAGAGUCACUUUUCCCCGUUUCCUCGCAUACCAGAGAGCCCAGUAACACGCACCGCGGCUCUCCAGAGAAAAAGACCCUAGAGAUCGUGGACACAGCGUGUGGGCCGUAUCAGCGCCCACUCAAGAUUAUUACUGCUUAUGCUUGCAACCGGAUGCUGUGCGCCCGGUUAGAAAAGGUCAAAUAAAACUCGAGUCAGUGGAAGCCUGUGGA